AUUGAACGCUGGCGGCAGGCCUAACACAUGCAAGUCGAGCGGAUGAAGGGAGCUUGCUCCUGGAUUCAGCGGCGGACGGGUGAGUAAUGCCUAGGAAUCUGCCUGGUAGUGGGGGAUAACGUCCGGAAACGGGCGCUAAUACCGCAUACGUCCUGAGGGAGAAAGUGGGGGAUCUUCGGACCUCACGCUAUCAGAUGAGCCUAGGUCGGAUUAGCUAGUUGGUGGGGUAAAGGCCUACCAAGGCGACGAUCCGUAACUGGUCUGAGAGGAUGAUCAGUCACACUGGAACUGAGACACGGUCCAGACUCCUAAGGGAGGCAGCAGUGGGGAAUAUUGGACAAUGGGCGAAAGCCUGAUCCAGCCAUGCCGCGUGUGUGAAGAAGGUCUUCGGAUUGUAAAGCACUUUAAGUUGGGAGGAAGGGCAGUAAGUUAAUACCUUGCUGUUUCGACGUUACCAACAGAAUAAGCACCGGCUAACUUCGUG
This 484-nucleotide ribosomal RNA is filed under the name uncultured bacterium. Its description in RNAcentral is "partial 16S ribosomal RNA". It matches the Rfam family "Bacterial small subunit ribosomal RNA", at positions 30 to 507 of the family's 1533-position model. The record is from RNAcentral.